RNAcentral lists this long non-coding RNA (203 nucleotides) under Hordeum vulgare. RNAcentral describes it as "long non-coding RNA (HVUL_LNC010606)". Lineage: Eukaryota; Viridiplantae; Streptophyta; Magnoliopsida; Poales; Poaceae. The record is from RNAcentral.
CUCAAUUUUGUAUGUUGAAGACUUUUGUUGUCUCUGUUUGAAGAAUUUGCUGAAGAUUUUCUCUGAAUUUCCUCAACCCAAAUUCUUCACAUCUGUUAAUCCUCACAUCCUUACUCUGUGCCUGCAUAUUGUGCAAACUGUUUUCCAUAAUCCUCAUCAAAAAACUGCUGUUGUAGUCUUUGCACUUCUGAUCCUUUGCUGUU